UCAGCUCUUCUAUGAAAUAAAAGAGCGCGCAGUACAAACUACAUGUAAAUCUUCAACUCGGCUUAUGACACUGUGGAAGAAGUCUGAUAAGCCAAAAGUCACAUUCGCUUCGUUGAUUGAAACAAAGUCUCCACUCCCCGCAACAAGAUGGCAUUUUGGAUGGAGACGAGUGAACAAAUCCAGGUUUUCCGACUACCAACGGGCGCACGUGGGAGGGAAACACUGGAAAGUGACCCUGUGGUGAAUGCAAACGGGCGUCAUUUUGUUAGCCUUGGCGACAGCACGCAACUUGAGUUUACGUAUGCAGCGAGAACGCCUGUUACCAUCACACUGCACAAGGAUGGAGCCGCCAUAGGCAGCAGCAACAACAUGCCACCUUCAGGACGUGUCCGAGUAGAUAUCGUUAACGCUCAAUACCUUCACCACAAGAGACGCUACGAUCUGAUCGUCACCGACGCACGUGGACGAAGAGGCAGAGCAUCCACCGAUCUCUGCAUCCGAGAGUACCUAAUAUAAUUAAGGACAAACUUAUCGACUAUGGCACUUCUACAGGAAACCUUACAAUGGCCUGAAACAACCGCCAUCGAUGUCGUGAGCCUGAGACUAAAGAUCUUACAUGAUACUUACAUGAUAAACUAAGUGCAUCAUAUUCAGUCUCUGCUGUAUGUUUUACAUUAAUGAAAUUUCAUUCAUUAGGUGCACAACCAGUGCUGUUCUCAUAUUGGCUGUGCAUUUCAACAAAGAAUUAAUGAUGUUUUCAAAGUACUUUUAUGGCACUUGGGAAGUAGCAUUAUAGUCGUACUUCUUUAAGUGUUGUUGCUAAGGAAUCACAAAUACUACUGAUAAUAACAAACAAACAGCCUAACCGAGCAGUCACGUGAUUCUGUAGAUGUCUAGGGAAUUCAACAAUCCCCACUCCAGAGGGGUCUUACAUUUUUAUAGGAAAACUUGGAAAAUAUUUAUAACUAGAUACAAUGGCAGUUUCCCUAAAUUUUUGUCUAAUCAAUUUUUGGCUUCUACAAAAAUUUCUACAUGUAUAUAUUCAGAAGAAUCAUCUCCACUCUUUAAACACUUAGAAUGCUCUGAAAAUUUAGGCCUAAGCUUAAGGAAGGUCAGUAUCUCAUCUACUAAAAAUAAAUUACAGCCACGCUCGAAAUUGAACUUAUUCAUAACUUGCCUUCUCAAACCGAAAUUUAGCAGGAAAUCCACGAUAGACAGCAUAUGAUUUAUGUUUUACGCAUCUGUAAUGUAUGGUGUUAUUUCUUCUCGUUUUAAUCUUCUAAUGACUAUUUGUGCAAUCUGAUUAAAGAAUAAAGCCAGAUAGACAAAAACGGAAAA
This is a long non-coding RNA of Acanthaster planci (crown-of-thorns starfish), 1338 nucleotides long. RefSeq lists it as uncharacterized. The record is from RefSeq and is a predicted model, not a curated record. Lineage: Eukaryota; Metazoa; Echinodermata; Asteroidea; Valvatida; Acanthasteridae.